Molecule: ribosomal RNA, 253 nt
Filed under: uncultured bacterium
Lineage: Bacteria
Description: partial 16S ribosomal RNA
Rfam family: Bacterial small subunit ribosomal RNA
Source: RNAcentral
AACGUAGGUGGCAAGCGUUAUCCGGAAUUACUGGGCGUAAAGGGCGCGUAGGCGGCCUGCUAAGUCGAACGUGAAAUCCCCGGGCUUAACCCGGGAACUGCGUCCGAUACUGGUUGGCUUGAAUUCGGGAGAGGGAUGCGGAAUUCCAGGUGUAGCGGUGAAAUGCGUAGAUAUCUGGAGGAACACCGGUGGCGAAGGCGGCAUCCUGGACCGGCAUUGACGCUGAGGCGCGAAAGCCAGGGGAGCAAACGGG